GAGUGCAGUGGAGCAAUCUCGGCUCACUGCAACCUCCGCCUCCAGAGUUCAAGCGAUUCUCCUGCCUCAGCCUCCGAAGUAGCUGGGAUUACAGGUGUACGCCACCAUGCCCAGCUAAUUUUUGUAUUAUUAGUAGAAAUGAGGUUUUUACCAUGUUGCCCAGGCUGGUCUCGAACUCCUAACCUCAGGUGAUCCACCCACCUCAGCCUCCCAAAAUGCUGGGAUUACAGGCAUGAGCCACUGUACCUGGCCUAGAGUAAAUUUAUUGAUUGCACAGGAUGUGUGGUGAUAUUGGUGGACUUAAGGAUACUGAAUUGUGUAUCAGGAAUAAAAUAUUUAUUAUGUGGGGUUUUGGGGGCCCUGGGUAACAAUGUAGCCUCCAGGGUAGAUUGGGUAGAAAAAAUUUAGGGUUGGUUUCCUGUUUCUGUGUUUUUGCUUCUAAUUUUUAUUAAUUUGCUGUUUAUUCUCCUCUGGGCUUUGCUUGUGUAUGCAUAUAUAUAAAACCAUGAUUUUUUUUUUAGUUUCUAGUGGAAAACUUUUAUUUGGUUCUGUGAAUAGUUAUUUCAUUUCCUAUGCCUUUCUAGCAAGUCAUCAUUUGUUCCAUUAAUCUGGAAUUCCUAGACUACCUUUGUCAGGCCCACAGGAAUUGAUGGGGUGCACCAGCUUUUAAAACUUAAACUGACUUUUUGGAUAUUAGGCUCCCUGAUACUUUGAAUGUAUUGAGUAUACUUUCAUAAAUAGAAUUUGAGUCAUUUUUCUCUCUGUCUGCCUAAUUUCUCCAAAAUUUGUAAACUAUUUGUGAAUGUUCUUAACUCAUGGCAAUUUAUUUAUUUAUUUAUUUUUUUGCCUACAGUUGAGUAGGGUUGCUAGGGCUGCCUAGGGAAGGAGAACCCAGAAAUCUGACAUGCCAGCAAAAGGGUAAGAAUUUCUUACCAGUUGGACUUCUGACCUCUCUCUGUGCAAACCAAUCGAAUGAAUGGUAAAAAUCACUGUUUAUCUCCUUUGUAAAGUUUUGGUUAAUGUGAAAAGAAAUUCUGAGGCUACUCAUAAGCUGUAGCAAAUCUGGGUUAUUUUGUGCUAUGAAUUUUUCUUUCUCUGUUGUACUGUCAUGAAGAGGUGUACCUUAGGAUAGAACAUGGGCUUAGGACCCCAUAAGCUCACUGCUCGUGACAACCCAGUAGCCUGGUCAGUAACAAACUUUGCUGCAGGUCCCUGAAACAAACAAAACAACUGGAUGAGGUCUCCAUCUUGUUUUAUGUCCCUAGGAGGUCAUAGUUAGCUCUAAAAGUUGUCUUAAGUAGUUGGAAGCCUUUGCAAGCUCAAAAUGAGCUACUCUAGACUCCUUCUGAAAGGAACAGUGUAGACUGUCCAAUGCUGUGGCUCAGCAGCUGGGGUUUUGCCAUUUUACAGUGGUGGCCUGUGUUGAGUCCUGGCUUGGGAAAUGAUUCCUUUCUGGUUUGAUAUCUGUGUGACCUUUACCAUUUGUUGGUUCUUUUCCCCUCUGUGAACCAUCUUGAAUUUUUCUUCUCUGAGCAUCUGGGAGGUUACCUUUGGUAACGUUCAAAAGCCAGAAAUAUUGGCCACUUCAUGUGGCUAAAAUUGGGUAAUAUGAGAUUUUAAAGGAUUUUUUUUUUUAAAGAAUGCUGUGGUUAAGUCAGUUUAAUUAAAAGUGGAUUCUAACUAUAGGUACAUUUAAAAGGCCUUUAUGUUGUGUUUUUUUUCUCUUCUUGGAUCUUGUUUUUCUGGAAGAAGGUUUUUUUCUUCUCAGUCGACUGAAUGAUUUUUGUGGGAGUCCUAAAAUUCUAGUAUAUUCUGAGUAUAUUCUAUCAAUCUUAAUUAUUACGUUAAGUUACUGUAGACCACAGAAAUAACCAAAUUUCCUUGUCAAUAGUGUUUUUAACUACCAUUAUUUAAAGUCAUUUGAACUCCAUGGUCUUAAGUCAAAUUACCUAUUAUAACCCAUUAGUUAUCAGUACUAUGCCCGUAAGUUGGAGAAACAACUGGUAUUCAAGAGGUCAUAAGUCCAGUGUUAAGCAUAGGCUCAUGGAGAACUAGGAUAGCCACCUUGUCCUUCCUGAGUCCUUAAAGCUUUUGUUAUUAAAGGUUAUGCAUUCUAUGACUCAUCAUGGAAGAGAUAAAAUGAUCCAAAUUAAAUUUAUACUGGAGUGCUGACUUAUAAAUUGCUAAAGUAUUUUAUAACCAAUAUUUGGUUUCUCAAAUCCAUAUUCCUGGGAAGACAAUCAAAGCUUCAGGUACGUUUGGCUACCUGAUGGGUCACUUAAACAUUUCAAUUGUCAUUUUCAAUGCACGUUUUCUGGCUGUAUAAAAGCGUUCCCAUGCAAGAGGGUUGAUGUUGUAACCGUAGAUUAUUAUGCUACAGUGUAUUUUCACCAGGUAAAGAAAGCUUUUUAUGGUUCACUGAGUGAGGAAAAUCAACCCCUUCACAGUCUAGAACCGGAAGAUUGGAUCUUCUGAGAACAUCAGAGAAAGACUGUCCUUGCCAUCCACGCUACAGCAAAACUUCGGGACCUUGAACUUGGAGUUCGUAAUCUCACAGAUGAAAAGGGUCCCUCCACACUCUUGGAACUGUACACCCAUUGGAACCCUUAAGGUUAUGAUAGAAUUGGCUGAAUGGAAGUAUCUGUGCAGCUGCUGGCACUGUGACCUAUGGAGAAAUGCAUCAAAUGAAGAUUAUAGAGAUUCAGUGGUAGGGGAUUAAUGAAGGGAUUGCUUAUUUAGGUGAGUAGACUGUUUAGCUCAUUCUUUGAUCUAUUUGAUUUUAUGUGGUUUGGUUUAUGGGAACCCUGGGUAAGGAGUACACUCCAAGGUCUUGGUAUUAUCCUCCCGAUAGUCAUGAUAAUAGUCUCCCUGGUGAGCUGCAUUAUCUCAAAGGUUUUAAGUGUUGGCGUGCAGCCAUCUCUAGAAUGUCAAAUGGUUUCUCUUUAAACUGAAUGACAAGAGCUGAAAGAAAUAUGCCACCAUGAGGACACUGUAACCUAUCAAUGAUGUGCUGAGACCGGAAACCCAACAUGGUGGUAACUGAGAGUGGCGGUAACGCCUUAAGUAUUGGUCACACUCUCACCUAAGUGAGAACCUGACCAAAAAGGGGGAAUUUUUUAAAACAAAAUUAUGGGAGGUCAUUGUUUUGGACUGAGCUCAUGUGCUAGGCCCCAACAGACCAAACCAAACCAAAAUGGAGUCAUUCAUGCUAAGACUUUAAGGAAACAUACAGAUCUUAGAACAGAUCAGGUUUUGUUUUUCUCCCGCAAAUCUGUAUAACAAACAUUCCUGACAGCACAGGUAUCCACCUCCUGAAGUUCCCAUUAAAUCUUUUAAACAAAUGCAUUUCCUGUCCCCUAGAGACUGUCAAGCUUCAGAUGAUCAUGCAAGAAGGGUUCCAGUUAGUUCCAGAUGAAGACACCCCCCACCUCCCUGGCCAUCAAGAAGCUACCCUGCCUCCAUUAGACAGCACAGGGUGAGAGUUCCAUGAUCCCCAGUAGGUAGAGACUACACCCCAAGCCAGCAUGAAGGAGUUGCAGAAGAAAGACCAUCAGUCCCUCUGACUCCCAGAAAGAUUUAUGAGGCUCAUGUCUCUCAUGGGGGAGAUGAGGCAGGAGAAUAGGGUCAGGGGGCAGGGAACCUAAGGACUUCCUAGAACUAAAUCAAACAGAAAAAACCCAACUUUCUAAGACCAAGUAAAUAACUUUGUAACUCUACUUCAGCUAUGACAGGAAACAUUCUCUUCAUUUGCACAAGGUAUACACCAAAUAAAUAACUUUGUAGCUUCACUUCAUCCCCUUCAUCUGCACAGGGUGUACCCCAAGUAAAUAACUUUGUAACUUCACUUCAGCCUCUCCAUUUAAAUAGAGUGUACACCAAGUAACCAAUAGAAACCUCUAGAGGGUAUUUAAACCCCAGAGAAUUCUGUAACUGGGCCCUUGAGCCACUUGCUCAAGCCACUCCCACCCUGGGGAGUGUGCUUUCAUUUCAAUAAAUCUGUUUUUGUCGCUUCA
Homo sapiens (human) is the source of this 4013-nucleotide long non-coding RNA. RefSeq lists it as uncharacterized. Lineage: Eukaryota; Metazoa; Chordata; Mammalia; Primates; Hominidae. The record is from RefSeq and is a predicted model, not a curated record. The transcript is spliced from 2 exons.